UGGGGAAUUUUGGACAAUGGGGGCAACCCUGAUCCAGCCAUGCCGCGUGAGUGAAGAAGGCCUUCGGGUUGUAAAGCUCUUUUGGCGGGAACGAAAUCGCGUUCGUGAACAACGGGCGUGGAUGACGGUACUCGCAGAAUAAGCACCGGCUAACUACGUGCCAGCAGCCGCGGUAAUACGUAGGGUGCGAGCGUUAAUCGGAAUUACUGGGCGUAAAGCGUGCGCAGGCGGCCGCGUAAGCCAGAGGUGAAAUCCCCGGGCUCAACCUGGGAAUGGCCUUUGGGACUGCGUGGCUCGAGUGCGGCAGAGGGGGGUGGAAUUCCUGGUGUAGCAGUGAAAUGCGUAGAUAUCAGGAGGAACACCGAUGGCGAAGGCAGCCCCCUGGGCCAGCACUGACGCUCAUGCACGAAAGCGUGGGGAGCAAACAGGAUUAGAUACCCUGGUAGCCCACGCCCUAAACGAUGACGACUAGUUGUUGGGGGAGCAAUCCCUUAGUAACGUAGCUAACGCGUGAAGUCGUCCGCCUGGGGAGUACGGUCGCAAGAUUA
RNAcentral lists this ribosomal RNA (548 nucleotides) under uncultured bacterium. RNAcentral's name for it is "bacterial SSU rRNA". It matches the Rfam family "Bacterial small subunit ribosomal RNA", at positions 355 to 896 of the family's 1533-position model. The record is from RNAcentral.